This 498-nucleotide ribosomal RNA is filed under the name uncultured bacterium. Its description in RNAcentral is "partial 16S ribosomal RNA". It matches the Rfam family "Bacterial small subunit ribosomal RNA", at positions 30 to 523 of the family's 1533-position model. The record is from RNAcentral.
AUUGAACGCUGGCGGCAUGCCUUACACAUGCAAGUCGAACGGUAACAGGUCUUCGGAUGCUGACGAGUGGCGAACGGGUGAGUAAUACAUCGGAACGUGCCUAGUAGUGGGGGAUAACUACUCGAAAGAGUGGCUAAUACCGCAUGAGAUCUACGGAUGAAAGCAGGGGAUCGCAAGACCUUGUGCUACUAGAGCGGCCGAUGGCAGAUUAGGUAGGUGGUGGGAUAAAAGCUUGCCAAGCAGACGAUCUGUAGCUGGCCUAAGAGGACGAUCGGCAACUCUGGAGCUGAGACACGGACAAGACUCCUACGGGAGGAAGCAGUGGGGAAUUUUGGACAAUGGGCGAAAGCCUGAUCCAGCAAUGCCGCGUGCAGGAUGAAGGCCUUCGGGUUGUAAACUGCUUGUGUACGGAACGAAAAGCCCCGGGUGAAUACCCUGGGGUCAUGACGGUACCGUAAGAAUAAGCACCGGCUAACUACGUGCCAGCCGCCGCCGCAG